This 71-nucleotide non-coding RNA is filed under the name Escherichia coli. Its description in RNAcentral is "naRNA4". It matches the Rfam family "Nucleoid-associated noncoding RNA 4 (CssrE)". Rfam says of the family: In E. coli small RNA transcribed from repeated extragenic palindromic element (REP325) called nucleoid-associated ncRNA 4 (nRNA4) collaborates HU protein in condensing the DNA. The secondary structure but not the sequence of the RNA is important in nucleoid condensation. The record is from RNAcentral. Lineage: Bacteria; Pseudomonadati; Pseudomonadota; Gammaproteobacteria; Enterobacterales; Enterobacteriaceae.
GGCCGGAUAAGGCGUUCACGCCGCAUCCGGCAUUCAGUACCUGAUGCGACGCUGACGCCUCUUAUCAGGCC